UUUAGAGGAAGUAAAAGUCGUAACAAGGUUUCCGUAGGUGAACCUGCGGAAGGAUCAUCAUUGAAUAAACUUGAGCAGGCUGUUGCUGGCCCAAGGGCAUUGUGCACGCUUGUCAUAUUUAUUUCUCCAACUGUGCACACACUGUAGACCUAAAGUUUUAGAGACAUCUAGAUUGAGGAUUGCUGUGCCUUUAGGCUAGCUUUGCCUUGUAGGUCUAUGUUUUUUCCACAAACCCUUAAACCUGUUUAGAAUGUUGAAUCAGGUCAUUUGUACCUAUAAAGUUAAAUAUACAACUUUCAGCAACGGAUCUCUUGGCUCUCGCAUCGAUGAAGAACGCAGCGAAAUGCGAUAAGUAAUGUGAAUUGCAGAAUUCAGUGAAUCAUCGAAUCUUUGAACGCAUCUUGCGCUCCUUGGUAUUCCGAGGAGCAUGCCUGUUUGAGUGUCAUUAAAUUCUCAACCACACUGAUUUUAUAUUAGAGUGGCUUGGAUAUGGGGGUUGUUCUUUGCAGGCUUUAGAAAUGAAGUCGGCUCCCCUGAAAUGCAUGAGUGGUGUCUUAGUGGUGACUACUACAGGUGUGAUAAUUAUCUAUGCCUUGGGUAGACCCAUUGUACUGCUUCUAAACACUUUUAUUUUGAAACAUUUGACCUCAAAUCAGGUAGGACUACCCGCUGAACUUAAGCAUAUCAAUAAGCGGAGGA
Molecule: ribosomal RNA, 699 nt
Filed under: Inocybe scabriuscula
Lineage: Eukaryota; Fungi; Basidiomycota; Agaricomycetes; Agaricales; Inocybaceae
Description: eukaryotic LSU rRNA
Rfam family: 5.8S ribosomal RNA (bases 292-445)
Source: RNAcentral